Gadus macrocephalus (Pacific cod) is the source of this 306-nucleotide long non-coding RNA. RefSeq lists it as uncharacterized. The record is from RefSeq and is a predicted model, not a curated record. The transcript has 2 exons. Lineage: Eukaryota; Metazoa; Chordata; Actinopteri; Gadiformes; Gadidae.
AGAGCCGAUAUUUAGAGCCGAUACUGCUUGUGCUCCCUCAAUCAUAAAAAUUACACUGAUAACAAAUGUUACAAGUCUCAAUUUAAAAAAAGGAACAUUUAUUGAACUUCAAUAUAAAAAACAAUAUUUAAUAAAUAGUAAAAACAGGUGAGUUAGAACAAGUAAAAAAAAAAAAAUAAAAAAAAAACGUGGCGAAAAAAAUAUCGGCGAAAAUCAGCCGCGUAUCGGCCGAUACCGAUACACGUAAAAAAAACGCGAAUAUCGGCCGAUAAUAUUGGCCGACCGAUAUAUCGGUCGAUCCCUAGU